This 999-nucleotide ribosomal RNA is filed under the name uncultured bacterium. RNAcentral's name for it is "bacterial SSU rRNA". It matches the Rfam family "Bacterial small subunit ribosomal RNA", at positions 9 to 1025 of the family's 1533-position model. The record is from RNAcentral.
GAGUUUGAUCCUGGCUCAGGACGAACGCUGGCGGCGUGCCUAACACAUGCAAGUCGAACGAGGUCGCCUUCGGGCAAUGACCAAGUGGCGAACGGGUGCGUAACACGUGAGAAACCUGCCCCGAAGACUGGGACAACCACGGGAAACUGUGGCUAAUACCAGAUGCCCCCCGCUGAUCGCAUGGUCGGCGGAGGAAAGGCUCCGGCGCUUCGGGAGGGUCUCGCGGCCUAUCAGCUUGUUGGUGAGGUAACGGCUCACCAAGGCAUCGACGGGUAGCUGGUCUGAGAGGACGAUCAGCCACACUGGGACUGAGACACGGCCCAGACUCCUGCGGGAGGCAGCAGUGGGGAAUCUUGCGCAAUGGGCGAAAGCCUGACGCAGCAACGCCGCGUGGGGGAUGAAGGCCCUCGGGUUGUAAACCCCUUUCAGCAGGGACGAAAUUGACGGUACCUGAAGAAGAAGCCCCGGCCAACUACGUGCCAGCAGCCGCGGUGACACGUAGGGGGCAAGCGUUGUCCGGAAUUAUUGGGCGUAAAGAGCUCGUAGGCGGUUUAGUAAGUCAGAUGUGAAAGGUUAGGGCUCAACCCUAAGACUGCAUCCGAUACUGCUAUGACUAGAGUCCGGUAGAGGAGUGUGGAAUUCCUGGUGUAGCGGUGAAAUGCGCAGAUAUCAGGAGGAACACCGACGGCGAAGGCAGCACUCUGGGCCGGUACUGACGCUCAGGAGCGAAAGCGUGGGUAGCAAACAGGAUUAGAUACCCUGGUAGUCCACGCCGUAAACGUUGGGCACUAGGUGUGGGACCUUAUCAACGGGUUCCGUGCCGUAGCUAACGCAUUAAGUGCCCCGCCUGGGGAGUACGGCCGCAAGGCUAAAACUCAAAGGAAUUGACGGGGGCCCGCACAAGCGGCGGAGCAUGUUGCUUAAUUCGAGGCAACGCGAAGAACCUUACCUGGGUUUGACAUGUACGGAAAAGCUAUAGAGAUAUGGUGUCCUUCGGGG